RNAcentral lists this ribosomal RNA (735 nucleotides) under Neodiplopeltula sp. Nem.29. Its description in RNAcentral is "SSU rRNA". It matches the Rfam family "Eukaryotic small subunit ribosomal RNA", at positions 129 to 870 of the family's 1831-position model. The record is from RNAcentral. Lineage: Eukaryota; Metazoa; Nematoda; Chromadorea; Araeolaimida; Diplopeltidae.
UCAAUCCUACUUGGAUAACUGUGGCAAUUCUAGAGCUAAUACACGCACUGAAACCGCAGCCCUUGGCAGCGGUGCUUUUAUUAGAACAAAGCCAACCGGGCCUCGGCCCGUCUGCUUGGCGAAUCUGAAUAACCUGGCCGAUCGCACGGUCUCGCACCGGCGACGCAUCUUUCAAGUGUCUGCCUUAUCAACUGUCGAUGGUAGCUUACGUGCCUACCAUGGUUGUAACGGGUAACGGAGAAUAAGGGUUCGACUCCGGAGAGGGAGCCUGAGAAAUGGCUACCACAUCCAAGGAAGGCAGCAGGCGCGCAAAUUACCCACUCUCGGCACGAGGAGGUAGUGACGAAAAAUAACGAGACGGUUCUCUUUCGAGGCCCGUUAUCGGAAUGAGAACAAUUCAAACCCUUUAACGAGGAUCUAGCAGAGGGCAAGUCUGGUGCCAGCAGCCGCGGUAAUUCCAGCUCUGCAAGUGUAUACCUUUGCUGUUGCGGUUAAAAAGCUCGUAGUUGGAUCUGCGCCCCAGGAGUCGGUCAUCCCGAGCGGAUUGCACUGACAUCCGGGGAUCUCGGCUGGUUUUCGCUUGGCGCCCUUCACCGGGUGUCUUGCGUGGCUAGCACGUUUACUUUGAAAAAAUUAGAGUGCUCAAAACAGGCGCACGCCUGCAUACUGGUGCAUGGAAUAAUAGAAUAGGACCUCGGUUCUAUUUUGUUGGUUUUCGGAACGGAGGUAAUGAUC